This 1022-nucleotide ribosomal RNA is filed under the name uncultured bacterium. RNAcentral describes it as "bacterial SSU rRNA". It matches the Rfam family "Bacterial small subunit ribosomal RNA", at positions 55 to 1053 of the family's 1533-position model. The record is from RNAcentral.
AUGCAAGUCGCACGGGAUAUUUCUGGUAGCAAUAUUAGAAAUGUUCAGUGGCGCAAGGGUGCGUAACACGUGGGCAAUCUGCCGAGAAGUGGGGGAUAGCUCGCCGAAAGGCGAAUUAAUACCGCAUGUGGCCAGGGAGGACAUCCUCCCGACGCCAAAGCCGGGGCAACCUGGCGCUUCUUGAUGAGCCCGCGGCCUAUCAGCUAGUUGGUGAGGUAACGGCUCACCAAGGCUAUGACGGGUAGCUGGUCUGAGAGGACGACCAGCCACACUGGAACUGAGACACGGUCCAGACACCUACGGGUGGCAGCAGUCGAGAAUUUUUCUCAAUGGGGGCAACCCUGAAGGAGCGACGCCGCGUGGAGGAUGAAGGUCUUCGGAUUGUAAACUCCUGUCAUUAGGGAACAAGGUCCGCGAUUAACUGUCGUCGGAAUUGAUAGUACCUGAAGAGGAAGAGACGGCUAACUCUGUGCCAGCAGCCGCGGUAAUACAGAGGUCUCAAGCGUUGUUCGGAUUCAUUGGGCGUAAAGGGUGCGUAGGUGGCAAGGUAAGUCGGGUGUGAAAUCCCGGGGCUCAACCCUGGAACUGCACUCGAUACUGCCAUGCUCGAGUACUGGAGAGGAGACUGGAAUUUACGGUGUAGCAGUGAAAUGCGUAGAUAUCGUAAGGAAGACCAGUGGCGAAGGCGAGUCUCUGGACAGUUACUGACACUGAGGCACGAAGGCCAGGGGAGCAAACGGGAUUAGAUACCCCGGUAGUCCUGGCAGUAAACGGUGCGCGUUUGGUGUGGGAGGAUUCGACCCCUUCUGUGCCGGAGCUAACGCGUUAAACGCGCCGCCUGGGGAGUACGGUCGCAAGAUUAAAACUCAAAGAAAUUGACGGGGGCCCGCACAAGCGGUGGAGUAUGUGGCUUAAUUCGAUGCAACGCGAAGAACCUUACCUGGGCUUGACAUGCAUCUCUAAGUCGGUGAAAGCCGGCGAGUGGAGCAAUCCACAAUUUGCACAGGUGCUGCAUGGCUGUC